GUGGGUGUCAAGCCGAACAAGAGCAUCUGGAGCAGAGGGAUCCGGAGUGUCCCAAGGAGGGUCAGGGUUCGCAUUGCACGCAGAAGGAAUGAUGACGAAGAUGCAAAGGAACAGCUUUACUCCCUUGUCACUGUUGCAGAAAUCCCAACUGAAGGACUUAGAGGUCUGGGCACCAAGAUUAUUGAAGACGAGGAUUGAUCCUUCUAUUUGUGUGAAAAAACAAAUCAAAUAACAAGUUAAACUGUAUUUUAUUUUUGCAAAUGUCGAGUACUUCCAGACCAAUUAGUUUUUCAUUUUUCCAUGCAGAUAAUUUCAUUGCUGUUGUUAAGAUUUUCAAAUGCCAUUUACCAUAUUGUUGUAGCGGACACGUUUAUUAUCAGUGCUUGAUCUUAUCCUUUU
RNAcentral lists this unclassified non-coding RNA (399 nucleotides) under Hevea brasiliensis (rubber tree). Lineage: Eukaryota; Viridiplantae; Streptophyta; Magnoliopsida; Malpighiales; Euphorbiaceae. The record is from RNAcentral.